UACGGAAGGUCCGGGCGUUAUCCGGAUUUAUUGGGUUUAAAGGGAGCGCAGGCGGGGAGGUAAGCGUGACGUGAAAUGUAGCCGCUCAACGGCUGAACUGCGUCGCGAACUGCCUCUCUUGAGUGAGUACGACGUCAGCGGAAUUUGUGGUGUAGCGGUGAAAUGCUUAGAUAUCACGAAGAACCCCGAUUGCGAAGGCAGCUGACGAGUCCUUUACUGACGCUAAAGCUCGAAGGUGCGGGUAU
Molecule: ribosomal RNA, 245 nt
Filed under: uncultured Prevotella sp.
Lineage: Bacteria; Pseudomonadati; Bacteroidota; Bacteroidia; Bacteroidales; Prevotellaceae
Description: partial 16S ribosomal RNA
Rfam family: Bacterial small subunit ribosomal RNA
Source: RNAcentral